GGGGAGUGGCGCAGUCCGGUAGCGCGCCUGCUUUGGGAGCAGGAUGUCGCAGGUUCGAAUCCUGUCUCCCCGAC
RNAcentral lists this transfer RNA (74 nucleotides) under Novosphingobium sp. MBES04. RNAcentral's name for it is "tRNA-Pro". It matches the Rfam family "tRNA". Rfam says of the family: Transfer RNA (tRNA) molecules are approximately 80 nucleotides in length. Their secondary structure includes four short double-helical elements and three loops (D, anti-codon, and T loops). Lineage: Bacteria; Pseudomonadati; Pseudomonadota; Alphaproteobacteria; Sphingomonadales; Sphingomonadaceae. The record is from RNAcentral.